Molecule: RNase P RNA, 390 nt
Filed under: Minisyncoccota bacterium
Lineage: Bacteria; Bacillati; Minisyncoccota
Description: RNase P RNA component class A
Rfam family: Bacterial RNase P class A
About the family: Ribonuclease P (RNase P) is a ubiquitous endoribonuclease, found in archaea, bacteria and eukarya as well as chloroplasts and mitochondria. Its best characterised activity is the generation of mature 5'-ends of tRNAs by cleaving the 5'-leader elements of precursor-tRNAs.
Source: RNAcentral
UGGAGUAUGUAGACAAUCGCUUCUGUGCUUUCGGGUGCAGGGGAGGAAAGUCCGGGCACUAUCUUGUCUCGCAAGAGACAGAUAAAACGGUAGUGGGUAAUCCCCAUCUACAGUAAUGUAAGAGGUGCGAACAGAGACGUCUUGGUUCGAAAGGACCAGAGAGCUAAACCCAGAUCAUUGAUUUAUCAAAGAUCAUAGCUUAGUUCCAAUCGGGGAUACAAGAUUGGAGGUGAAACGGCCAAAUCCUUACUGGAGUGCAAGAUCAAAUUCCGAUUUAUCGGAAUAAAAGUAGAUCGCUUGAGUCUGGCAGUAAUGCCAAGACCAGAUAAAUGGUUGUCCGGUCGUCGCAAGACGACUAUACAGAACCCGGCUUAUCGCAUGCUAAAUCAA